RNAcentral lists this transfer RNA (73 nucleotides) under Micromonospora sp. KC721. RNAcentral describes it as "tRNA-Val". It matches the Rfam family "tRNA". Rfam says of the family: Transfer RNA (tRNA) molecules are approximately 80 nucleotides in length. Their secondary structure includes four short double-helical elements and three loops (D, anti-codon, and T loops). The record is from RNAcentral. Lineage: Bacteria; Bacillati; Actinomycetota; Actinomycetes; Micromonosporales; Micromonosporaceae.
GUCCGCGUAGCUCAGCGGAACGAGCGCUCCGCUCACACCGGAGAGGACCCGGGUUCGAUCCCCGGCGCGGGUA